This 724-nucleotide ribosomal RNA is filed under the name uncultured bacterium. RNAcentral describes it as "bacterial SSU rRNA". It matches the Rfam family "Bacterial small subunit ribosomal RNA", at positions 28 to 776 of the family's 1533-position model. The record is from RNAcentral.
GAUGAACGCUGACAGAAUGCUUAACACAUGCAAGUCUACUUGAUCCUUCGGGUGAUGGUGGCGGACGGGUGAGUAACGCGUAAAGAACUUGCCCUGCAGUCUGGGACAACAUUUGGAAACGAAUGCUAAUACCGGAUAUUAUGUGAGUUUCGCAUGAAAUUCAUAUGAAAGCUAUAUGCGCUGCAGGAGAGCUUUGCGUCCUAUUAGCUAGUUGGUGAGGUAACGGCUCACCAAGGCGAUGAUAGGUAGCCGGCCUGAGAGGGUGAACGGCCACAAGGGGACUGAGACACGGCCCUUACUCCUACGGGAGGCAGCAGUGGGGAAUAUUGGACAAUGGACCAAAAGUCUGAUCCAGCAAUUCUGUGUGCACGAUGAAGUUUUUCGGAAUGUAAAGUGCUUUCAGUUGGGACGAAGUAAGUGACGGUACCAACAGAAGAAGCGACGGCUAAAUACGUGCCAGCAGCCGCGGUAAUACGUAUGUCGCAAGCGUUAUCCGGAUUUAUUGGGCGUAAAGCGCGUCUAGGCGGUUUGGUAAGUCUGAUGUGAAAAUGCGGGGCUCAACUCCGUAUUGCGUUGGAAACUGCCAAACUAGAGUACUGGAGAGGUGGGCGGAACUACAAGUGUAGAGGUGAAAUUCGUAGAUAUUUGUAGGAAUGCCGAUGGGGAAGCCAGCCCACUGGACAGAUACUGACGCUAAAGCGCGAAAGGGUGGGUAGCAAACAGG